Molecule: ribosomal RNA, 2249 nt
Filed under: human gut metagenome
Description: bacterial LSU rRNA
Rfam family: Bacterial large subunit ribosomal RNA
Source: RNAcentral
AGGGCGUUCGGUGGAUGCCUUGGCGCUAAGAGCCGAAGAAGGACGCGGUAAGCUGCGAAAAGCUACGACGAGCUGCAAGCAAGCGAAGACUCGUAGAUAUCCGAAUGGGAAAACCCCACUGGAGUAAUAUCCAGUGAUCCUAUAGCCAAUCCAUAACUAUAGGAAGGCAACCUGGAGAACUGAAACAUCUAAGUACCCAGAGGAAAAGAAAGAAAACUCGAUUCCCCCAGUAGCGGCGAGCGAAAAGGGAAAAGCCCAAACCAACACUUAGGUGUUGGGGUUGUAGGACCUUCAUUACGGAAAAGAGUCAUAGCCGAAGGACUUGGGAAAGUCCAUCACAGAAGGUAAAAAUCCUGUAAGCGAAAUGACGACAGACCAGAAGGGAUCCUGAGUACCACGAGGCACGUGAAAUCUCGUGGGAAACCGGGGGGACCACCCCCCAAGGCUAAAUACUCCUUAGCGACCGAUAGAGAACAAGUACCGUGAGGGAAAGGUGAAAAGAACCCCUGGAGGGGAGUGAAAAGAACCUGAAACCGAACGCUUACAAGCUGUCACAGCACCAUACGAGUGUAGUGGCGUACUUUUUGUAGAACGGACCGGCGAGUUGCGUUAUCAAGCGAGGUUAAGUAGAGAAUACGGAGCCGAAGCGAAAGCGAGUCUAAAGAGGGCAAAAGUUUGAUGACGCAGACCCGAAACCGGGUGAUCUACCCAUGAGCAGGAUGAAGCGUUAGUAAAAUAACGUGGAGGUCCGAACCAGGUAACGUUGAAAAGUUAUUGGAUGACUUGUGGGUAGGGGUGAAAUUCCAAUCGAACCCGGAGAUAGCUGGUUCUCCUCGAAAUAGCUUUAGGGCUAGCCUUAACGUAGAGGUUUAUGGAGGUAGAGCACUGAAUUGGCUAGGGGGCCUCACCGCUUACUGAACCAUAUCAAACUCCGAAUGCCAUAAACUAUAGUUAGGAGUCAGACUGUGAGGGAUAAGCUUCAUGGUCAAAAGGGAAACAGCCCAGACCGCCAGCUAAGGUCCCCAAGUGGAUGUUAAGUGGAAAAGGAUGUGAAAUCGCUCAGACAACCAGGAUGUUGGCUCAGAAGCAGCCACCAUUUAAAGAGUGCGUAAUAGCUCACUGGUCCAGGGGUUUUGCGCCGAAAAUGUAACGGGGCUCAAACAUGCCACCGAAGCUGCGGGAUUAUACGUAAAGUAUAAUCGGUAGAGGAGCGUUCUUAACACGACGAAGGCAUACUGAAAAGAGUGCUGGAGAGUUAAGAAGUGAGAAUGCCGGUAUAAGUAUGCGAAAAGGCAGGUGAGAAUCCUGCCCGCCGAAAAUCUAAGGAUUCCUGGGGAAGGCUCGUCCGCCCAGGGUAAGUCGGGACCUAAGGCGAGGCCGAAAGGCGUAGUCGAUGGAAAACUGGUAGAGAUUCCAGUACCACCAAAUGUCGAUUGAGUGAAGUAGUGACGCAGAAAGAUAGGGAGAGCGCCCAGAUGGUGAGGCGUUUAAGUAAGUAGGGUGAUGGGUAGGCAAAUCCGCCCAUUAAAAGCCUGAGAUACGAAUACGAGUGAAAACUAGUAACGAAGUCCCCGAUUCUCCGCUGCCAAGAAAAGCUGCUAACGAGACAGAAGGUGCCCGUACCGUAAACCGACACAGGUAGAUGGGGUGAGAAACCUAAGGCCGACGAGAAAACUCUUGUUAAGGAACUCGGCAAAAUGAACCCGUAACUUAGGGAGAAGGGUUGCUCUAAAAUGUGAGUAUGCAAGCCAUACAGAGCAUAGAAGAGUCGCAGAGAAAAGGUCCAGGCGACUGUUUAGCAAAAACACAGGUCAUUGCAAAAUCGGAAGAUGAAGUAUAAUGGCUGACGCCUGCCCGGUGCUGGAAGGUUAAGGGGAAAUGUGAGAGCAUAGAACCGAAGCCCCAGUAAACGGCGGCCGUAACUAUAACGGUCCUAAGGUAGCGAAAUUCCUUGUCGGGUAAGUUCCGACCCGCACGAAAGGCGUAACGAUCUGGACGCUGUCUCAACAAGGGACUCGGCGAAAUUGAAAUACCGGUAAAGAUGCCGGUUACCUGCGAUAGGACAGAAAGACCCCAUGGAGCUUUACUGCAGCCUGAUAUUGGGUUUUGGUUAUUGAUGUACAGGAUAGGUGGGAGACUAGGAAUCAUGUACGCCAGUAUGUGAGGAGUCGGCGGUGGGAUACCACUCUUCAAUGACUGAAAUUCUAACCCAGGUCCGUGAAACCGGAUCGGGGACAGUGUCAGGCGGA